AGCCCGAUGCAUCCUUCUUUUGUUGGGCCUACGACGUGUCCGUUUAUGGCGCCAACUUCCUCGUGGCUCGCCACAUCUGCCAGGUCACUUGGGCCACUUGCUACUCCCUCGACGUUGGUUGUGGCAUCUCCGGCACAGGUCCGUUGGGGGUUCGCCCCCUUUGCUGUAACACCCCUGAUUAAUCCUACAUCGAAAGUAGGUAAGACUAAGAUUAGCAUACGAGGGUCUGAUGAGUGUAUUACUAUCAACUUCACCUUAAGCAUGUUGACUAGUGGUUUAAUUUAAACAAAGUCGAUAGACCAAUUAGCUUAUCAGGCUUGGGUCAUGAUAUUGGUAUCAUAAUCAACCUAGUAUUUGAGCAUGGUGAGAGGGCUCGAGUAAGAAAGGGCUACUCGUGGAUGAAGUUAGAGGACUCGUCAUGGCAUAGAGCCACCACUAGGCUAUGCCUCACAUGCACUAUGUUAGGGCUUGAUCGAUUAGUCUCACUACUGGCCUAAGUAUUUUGGCCAGUAGUUUGGGCCAAACGAAAUUGAUAGGCCAGUUAUCCUAUUAACCCCAGGUCGUGACAUUUGAUAUCAGAGUCGACCUAGUAUUUGGGCAUAGUGAGGGGGCUUCUCGAGUAGAAAAGGAUUGAUUACCUAUGGAUGGAGUCAGAGGACUCGUCACGACAUAGAGCCACUAUUGGGAUACGCCUCACAUACAUCAUGUUAUGGUUUGAUCUGGACUAUGCUAGGCCUUGACGAGGACAUCAAGCUCUUGAGUGGGGGAGAUUAUAAUACCUCCGAUUAAUCCCAUAUCGAAAGUGGGCAAGACUAAGAUUAUCUUAUAAGGGUCUGAUCAGUAUACUACUAUCAAUUUUCACUUGAGUUUUUUGACUAGU
RNAcentral lists this long non-coding RNA (880 nucleotides) under Musa acuminata (dwarf banana). Its description in RNAcentral is "long non-coding RNA (MACU_LNC002559)". Lineage: Eukaryota; Viridiplantae; Streptophyta; Magnoliopsida; Zingiberales; Musaceae. The record is from RNAcentral.